GACGAACGCUGGCGGCGUGCCUAAUACAUGCAAGUAGAACGCACAGUUUAUACCGUAGCUUGCUACACCAUAGACUGUGAGUUGCGAACGGGUGAGUAACGCGUAGGUAACCUGCCUGGUAGCGGGGGAUAACUAUUGGAAACGAUAGCUAAUACCGCAUAAUAUUAAUUAUUGCAUGAUAAUUAAUUGAAAGGUGCAAUUGCACCACUACCAGAUGGACCUGCGUUGUAUUAGCUAGUAGGUGAGGUAACGGCUCACCUAGGCGACGAUACAUAGCCGACCUGAGAGGGUGAUCGGCCACACUGGGGCUGAGACACGGCCCAGACUCCUACGGGAGGCAGCAGUAGGGAAUCUUCGGCAAUGGACGAAAGUCUGACCGAGCAACGCCGCGUGAGUGAAGAAGGUUUUCGGAUCGUAAAGCUCUGUUGUAAGAGAAGAACGGGUGUGAGAGUGGAAAGUUCACACUGUGACGGUAUCUUACCAGAAAGGGACGGCUAACUACGUG
Molecule: ribosomal RNA, 505 nt
Filed under: uncultured bacterium
Lineage: Bacteria
Description: partial 16S ribosomal RNA
Rfam family: Bacterial small subunit ribosomal RNA
Source: RNAcentral